ACAGGAACUCAGUUCUGGCACUGUUCAGGAGGGUGCCAUUGCCAUUAUAAGAGAGCAAGAGUGGUGUUCGUGAUGAGUUCUGGCACCUCUUUUUCUGCAAAAAUAGCACUGCUGGUGCUGGUAACUUUCAAGUCUUGUUAUCUAAAACUCUUUGCAAAACCCAGUUCACAAUUUAUAUCCAGUACAGCUUAGGAAUCUGAAUCACAUCAAAAUGGGAGGGUGCUUUCUUCCUAUAUAUAUAUCCCAUCCCCAUCUUAGGAGAAACAGUAGUAAUUGGGAGGGAUUAUCACAUGAUGUAUGGAAGUGAGAGCUGGACCAUAAAGAAGGCUGAUUGCCAAAGAAUUGAUGCUUUUGAAUUAUGGUGCUGGAGGAGACUCUUGAGAGUCCCCUGGACUGCAAGAAGAUCAAACCUAUCCAUUCUGAAGGAAAUCAGCCCUGAGUGCUCGCUGGAAGGACAGAUCCUGAAGCUGAGACUCCAAUACUUUGGCCACCUCAUGAGAAGAGAAGACUCCCUGGGAAAGACCCUGAUGUUGGGAAAGAUGGAGGGCACAAGGAGAAGGAGACGACAGAGGACGAGAUGGUUGGACAGUGUUCUCGCAGCUACCAGCAUGAGUUUGACUAAACUGCGGGAGGCAGUGGAAGACAGGAGUGCCUGGCGUGCUCUGGUCCAUGGGGUCACGAAGAGUCGGACAUGACUAAACGACUGAACAACAACAAAUCACAUGGUAUGCUGUGUACAUACCAUGUACACAGUUCUGAUUGCUGCAUCUCAAAAAGGAUAUUGCAGGGUUGGAAAAGGUGCAGAAAGGGGCAACCCAAAUGAUCAGGGUGCUUGACUAUUUUAUAAGGAUUAUGUUUGGGGAGUUAAGAGUGGAUGCAAUCAAACUUUAUUAAAGUUAUGCAUAAGAACAUAAGAAAAGCCGCCUGGAUCAGGUGAGUGGCCCAACCUGCUCCUGCAAUGGCCAACCAGAUUCCUGUGGGAAACCCACAAACAGGAUUUGGGCACAAGAGCACUCUCCCUUGUGGUUUCCAGCAGCUGGUAUUCAGAAGCAUCCAACACUUGGAGUCAGAGCAUAGCCAUCAUGGCUGGUAGCCACGGAUAGCUCUCGCCUCUGUGAAAUUAUCUAAUCCUCUUUUAAAGCCAUCUAGGUUGGGUGGCCAUCACUGCCUCCUGUGGAAGAAAGUUCCAUAGUUUGACUAAGUGCUUUGUAAAUAAGUACUUCUUCUUCUUCUUCCCUGCCUAUCUGGCUAGGUUUCCCCAGCUACUCUGGGCAGCUUCCAACAAAAUAUUAAAAACACAAUAAAACAUCAGAUAUUCAAAACUUCCCUAAACAAACCCACCCUCUGAAUCUUAGCAUCCUGAAUCUUCCAACAUUCAGCUUCAUUGGAUGUCAAUGAGUUCUACUAUACAGUGGUACCUCUGGUUGCGAACGGGACAUGAGCAGAACGCAACCCGCGUCUGCACAUGCACAGGUCACGAUUCGUCGCUUCUGUGCAUGCAUGUGACGUCAUUUUGAGCAUCUGCGCAUGCGCGAGCAGCGAAACCCGGAAGUAACCCUUUCCGGUACUUCUGGGUCACCGCGGGACACAACCUGAAAAGACAUAACCUGAACCAAACGUAACAAGAGGUAUGACUGUAAUGACAGAGGAAGGAAAACGUUUCUCAAUCCACUUUCUCCAUGCCAGGCAUAAUUUUAAAACUUUUAUCAUGUCAACUUUUUCUUGUCCUCUAAAUUAAAAAGUCCCAAAUGCUACAAUGUUUCUUUAUAAGGGAGUCUAUCAUCCCUUUCAUCAUUUUGGCUGCCCCUUUUUGAACCUUUUCCAACUCUACAAUAUCCAUUUUUGAAGUAAGGUGGCCAUAACUGUACACAUUAUUUCAAAUGCCGUUACAACAUAGAUUUGUGUAACAGCUUUAUUAUACCAGCAGUUUUAUUUUCAAUUCCUUUCCUAAUGAUCCUUGGCAUGGAAUUUGCCUCUUUCACCACUGUCAUUCACUGGGUCAACAUAUUCAUAAAGCUAUCUAGUAUGACUUCAAAGUUUUGUUUCUGGUCCAUUAGCACCAGUUCAUAUCCCAUGAGUGUAUAUGUGAAGUUAUGGGUUUUUGCCCCAACAUGCAACACUUUACACUUGUUUACAUUGAAUUGCACUUGCCAUUUUACCUCCCGUUCAUUCAGUUUAGAGAGGUCCUUUUAGAGCUCACCACAAUCUGUCUUUAUUUUAAUGACCCUGAACAAUUUAGAAUCAUUAGCAAAAGGCUGGAUGAGGCUGCUGAAGAGGCCAGAAAUCAUCUUGGCUGUGAGUCCUAGAACAGCUGCUUCCUGCCUUGCAGGCCUUUUCCCACCUGGCCUGGGAGGGUGAAGCCCUGACUGACUCCAGCUGCAAAAGCCUAGGCUGCUGAAGAAGCCAGAGACCAUAUUGGUUGUUCCUUAGUUCGGAAACAGGUCAUCGAACCUGAGCAUCCACAGCCGCCAUGAACCACCAUUUGCAGGGUUGGCAGCAACAGUAGCAGAUACGUUCUACGCUUAAAGUAAUAUUUUUAGUCUCUUGCUAAUUAUGCUGUUUUAAAUGUGCAUAUUUGACUUCCUUUAGUAACGUUUUCUUUUGAAGAUUUUUUUGGUUAACUUUGCUGUGUUAAAUGUGCAUUCUGUAGUUGACCUCCUUUGUAAUGUUUUAUUUCGAAAUCUUUAAGAUAGCAUUUUAGUUUCCUGCUAAUUAUUUUUGCUUUGAAUGUAUGCUUUAUAGUUGACUUUCUCCUGUAAUGUUUUAUUCUAGAUUGUUUUAUUUGAUGUUUCAAUGUAAGUUGUAAACUACUUUGAGAUUUUUUUUCUUUGAAAUAUAAAGCAGUAUACAAAGGAAAUUAUCAACAAUAAUAAUGACACUGUGAAGAGCACCUUCCACACUCUGCCCCUCCCAGCGCUGGCAGCGGCGAGGGAUGGGUAAGCACACUCUGUCCCUGCUUGGACGCGCACCUGCCCCAGGCACCUGUGGACAGUACUAUGCCCCUGGGAAGAGGAGCAGUACAUGAGUCUAUGAUUCUAUGCCAUUGCUUGUGUGCUUAGUGGGUCUCAGCCUGGCAAGCCAAGUGAAAGAAAUGGGGAAGAACAGAAGCAGCUGCACGUGGUGACAGGAGGAGGUAGAUUCAGGGAGUGGGGGGAAGCUGACAGAGUGUGCUUUACCAAAAGGGACUCCCAAAACACUGGUGCGGACGCAGUGCCUCUGAUUGCCAGUUGUUGCGCAAUAACUGUAAAUGUGGGCUAUCUCCAUGCGCUGCUUGUGGGCUUCCUAGAAGCAUCUGAUUGGCUAUUGUGGCAAACUAAAUGCUGGACUAGAAGGACUGUUAGCAGGACUCUUCUACUGCUGUCAUAUUCAUCUCCGUUCAUUCGUUUUAGCUGUUUUGAAUAUAUAAAAUAAUCACACCUGUGGACUGGUUGCUAAUGCUGUCUCUGAAGUACCAAAGUACUUCCCCAUGCUGUCAUUAAAAGACUUCCAAGUCAUGUAUGUAUUGUCACCCCCAUCAGGAAUGGAAAAAUAUGGAAAUGUGUUGUUAUUUAUAAUGCAUUCAGUUGGCUGCAUUUCUAAAAUAAUUAGAUUUGCUAGCUAACCUGACCUUAGCAGCACUGGAUUGGUUUUGGAGAAAAAUUAAAUUUUAAUCUAAAUGUUAAUUUUUUAAAUGGAUAAGCAGUUAGGAGCCACUCUAACAGACAUUUCCAUUGCGUUGGGUAUCAGUACCCCUGUCUGGAUGUGUAUUACAGAGCACUUACUCUACAGAAAAAUGAGCUUCUUCGGAAUCUCAUUUUUCCUUUUAAUCAUUGUUCUACCACAGCAUGAUUUUAGUCUCAUCUCACUUUCACAGGGAAGGUUGGGGACGUGUUGCCAAUGAGUGAAUUCAGACAAAGCUAUGAUCGAGGAAUCCCCGCAAGGUAGGACUUGGCUUGUUUCAACUCAGGCUGAUGAGAGUUGUAGUCCAAAACAUCUGGAAGGCAACAAAGACUAGUGUACAUUAGGAUGUGUGUUUUAUAGCUUAUAGCAUCUUAACUCUUUUUCAUAGCAAGCAAUAUUUUUUUACAGUGAGUAAACUAAAAAUAAAAAGGGUGCUGUAGACCAGAAACUCAGAGCAAAACAGAUUCAAAAUGGUGACUGUUUCUUAAGGCAGCGGUGCUCAUCUUAGCUUUUGUAAUCUCUGUGGUAGGCUUUCCUCAGCCCUUUUAACACCACAUCAAUCCCUAACAGCUGCUUAGGUGGCUCUGUAUCAUGUACACAUAAUCAGUCUGCAAUAUUUCCCAGCUUUUGUUGGCUGGAAUAGUGAAACAGCCAUAUGGUGACUUUUUGGGAUGUGGUGACUAUCCAUGUGUGAACAUGUUUGCAACUCACCUGCUCAUUCACCCACUUGGUAUGUUUUAAUCUCUCCACUUAUCAUCUGUAUCAGAGCAUCCAAAAGAGCGGGCACUUCUUGUAAAACAGUGCCGUCCAGAUUUUGUGGACCAUGUCCCAUCAUCCCUAGCCAUUAGCCACAUUGGCUAGAUCCAAUGCAAGCUGUAGUCCAACAGGCACACCCCUGGCUACCACUGUCUCCUAAAAGAUCACCCUCUGGUGACUUUGCCAUCAGUUUGCCAUUUAUCUCAGUGGCAUACUGAGGUGUCAAAUAUCAAAAGUGGUGUAAGAACUCAGAAACUGGGAGCUGCAACAUUGGCACAAAGUCCAGCUCACAAGACCAGUGCAAACUGUACAGUCCACAAGUCUGCCCUAGUGAGAGAAUGAAUAUACACUUCUCUCUAUGACAGUUUGUGCCUUUCCACUGAGCAAAUUGGCCCUGCUGUCUUGCCAUGCUAUCUUGUUCAAGGAAAAGAGAUGAGCAUAGAAAUAGAUCUUGUUAGAUUUUCAGGCUCUAGGAGAGAACCGUAACCUAAUCCCCUACAUAAUCUAAUUUACACAGUGCUUUCUCGCAGCCUCUGUGUUGAGAGCGGCAGCUCAGGCUUGGUAGCCAUCGUUUUGGAAGAUUCACUAGCUGCAUUUUAAAAACAACACAACAACUGAUCCCCUGUUGUCUUGCAAAUAUGCAAGUUUGCAAAGUUUGUAGCACCUUAACUAGUUAGUUCAAUCAAAUCUGUCCUUUUGCCUCAUAGAUGUACAGAGUGUGCUGAGACCUAGUAGCAGCACCAAGCCAAGACUUCAGUGUGGAGCAAAUAAAUGUAAUACUCUUUAAAGCAGGCCUUCUUGGAGCCUUGUUUCCAGUCUCCUCCCAAAUGUCCUCAUAGAAAUGCGUAAUGUUGAUCUUGUUAAAAAAGAAAAUAAAAAAAUUGCCGGCAAAUGUAGUAAUGGCCAAUAAAUUAUAUAAAGUAUUGCAACACACGCAGCACCAAUGUGGCUGUUUCGAUAGACUGUAAUUGUUUUCCAGCUCUUACCUCGUCAGUUGCUCUGGCUUCCAACUGGGGGAGAAGUGAAUAACAAGCCAAUCAGCAUGCAAAAUAUAGAACAGGGUGGCACAACACACGGCCAUCAGCCAAAUAUGAGAUUAACAUGUGACUGUAGCAAAGAACAGGCAGUCUCUGCAUUCUGUCUUUUCAGUGCUGCUUAGAAGUGCUCCUCUUCUAUUCUACAGUUCAUCCAUCAAAACAAAUCAUCCAGCUCCACAGGGUUAGCAGACAUAGGGCUGUAUCCAAUUUACCCUUAUUAGUAUUAUGAUUAAUAAUGGUAACAUGAAUUUGAUUUCUUACCUGCCCUGCACCAGAAGAUCCAAGGAUGUGUUGCAACAAUUUAAAUACAGCAUUACAAAGUUCUACCCAAGAGUUAAGUCCAUGGAAAUUAAUGGACCUAAAUUAGUCACGUCCAUUAAUUUCAGUGGGCUGCUCUGGGUAGUAUUAUCAUUGACUACAACACAUAAUCUCAUAUUGAUUCUAUCCUGGUUUAUUCAUUGCCACUGCAUUUUAUCUGAUAUACUUCACUUGUGUGCGCAACAGCUUGCUAAUGUGCAUGUAGGUUACACAGAUCCAAUUCAUCUAUGUGUGGUUUUGUGCGUGUUCAUCUUCACAUGAUUGUUUUCAGUUGAACUCAAAUGUUUCUUAUGUACACUAGUGGGCAGUGCUUGAUGGGAUGCAUUUGACUGUGUGUUGUCACCUCUCCUCAAAUAAUAAUUCCCCACUCACCUUGAGUUCCGGAAACCCGAAGUCAGUUGUGGGCAUUCGUGCAGUUAUUUGCUAAGCUGUGCAUGUGGCCACUUCCCACCCCCCACCCCGAUACAGGUUUUCCAAUAUACCAGACUUGCACAGAGCAGCAGGUUACAAACGUGUGUUUGUGUGAGUGCAUCUCUUGUUCCUGGCUCCAUCAGCAGCCCACCAAGGUACUCCUUGCCAAUGGAAGGAGGGGGUGUAGUAAUAGACAGCACCCAGCAAAACGUCACCACAGCUGUAAAAACAAAACAAAACCAUUCACACAAUAUGCUUCAGUACAUCCACGUGAUUUUACGUUCAGUACAUCCAUGUGAUUUUAUGUUGGAUUUCCCCCCUUAUGGCAUUAUCCAGGAAAUCUAGAAAAUCAUAAUUAAAUUCUGAGGAGGAAAUUGUGGGCUGACACUGGGAUGAGGACAACAUCAUGUGGAACAUGCAAAGAACAUGUGCAUAUGAGAUGUAUAAAAUCUUCUUUAAACUACUUUGUGUGCAUAGCCUCAUAUAUACUGUGUGUGUGUGUGUAAUCUGAUUUACUUCCUAUUCAAAUACAUUGAAGGAGGUGUUUGCUCAAUGAAAACAUUUGUUAGCAGCAGAAGCUGAGAUCAGGGAAGAAACAGGAAAGGACUGUACUUUUCUGCGUAUAAUACGAGGUUUGUUUAAUAAAAUAAUUAUGUUUAAAAUUGGGGGUCGUCUUAUACAUGGAUAGUGCAUAGGGGGGACGUGAGCCGGAGAUUGUCAGAGGCUUUUGGGCGUGUUAUCAGUGGCUGUGCCAAGGGCUAGUGAUGAUUGGAUGUGCGAGUGGCAGUGUAGUUAAUUCGAGUGAGCAAUUUCCUUUAUCCCCCCCCCCCCAAAAAAACUCAACAACUCUGGGCAAUCCUCUCCAAAAAAGCUCCUCACCAACUCUGGGCAAUCUCCCCCCAUUUUUCUAAUUUGUAGUCCCCAAAAAUAUACACAGGGGCAGAAAAAUACGGUACUAUACUUGGGAAAAUAUGGUACUUUUUCACACAGUUUGCAUAUUACAGUAAACCAUAGUUUAUCAUGUGGACAAAACAAACCACAACCCUUAUUAUGAAUGAAGCAAUAUGGUUUAUUUUGCUCCAGAUAAACUGUUAUCAGUAAAAUAGCAACAAACCUUAUCGAAAUUUGCUUAGGGCAAAACAGAUCACAACCCCCAAUUUAUCUAUAAUGCUAAGCCAGGGGUUUGCUUCUCCAACCCUGAUAACCUCCCUCUUGUGGGUGGGUGGUGCUGGGUUUUGGCUUCAUAAGGAUCCACACUUGGAAAAUGAGUUUCAUAGAAUCAUAGAAUUGUAGAGCUGGAAAGGACCUUGAGGAUCAUCUAGUGCAACCUUUUGGUUGCUGCUGGAGGUUCAGUUACAGUUAAGACUAAAGAUCCAUUCAUUUGCAUUUGCAAAAUGGGAAAUGUGGUGGUUCUCCCUAAAACAGGAAACAUUCAACUGGUGUGAUAUCUAAUUAACUGCACUAGAAAUCAGUUGGGUUGGGCAAGAGCCAGAGAUUCUUGGAGUAUGCAUUGAUCUGACUGUGCCGUUAUUUUGAUUUAGCAUUGAACUCUCAAAAAGUUUCAAGUUUCCCAGGACAAAGUGAGAAUACUUUUGUUUCCUCUGCAUCCCAAAUUUGGAUUUCUUAGAGGAGCAAGGAGGUAGGUUAAAGAAUAGAGAGAGUGUUUUAUGGAAAGGGGUGGAUGAGGAGAAGUACCUUUGAGCACUCAUUUGGUUCAUGUGCUGUCUGUCCAUCUACAUUCACCGGUAAAGAGAGCCCAUUUCCCCAAAUCCUGGAAACAAUCUUGCCAAGAGAGAGAUCCUGUGUAUGUGUAUGCAUGUGUCUGUAUCUAGUUGUUUCAGAAGAGAAUCUACUAUAAAAGGAGUUAAUUUAUGUUAAUGGUUUUGUCAAAUUAAACAACUACACAUACAAAUUUACUUCCCUGAAUUCAUGGCAUUACAAUCUUCCCCAUGGCAACACCGAGAGUCAGAUAUUGAGUGGCAAAGUUCAAAUGGGUGAAAAAGGAAACAAAAUUGUCCAAAUAUAUUCAAUUACCAGUUUCUUUAAAAAAGAAAAGCAAGAUAAACCUUUAGACAGUGUUUUCUGCUUGCAGAGUCCUUUAUAAUGUUUGUUCAUUUUCUUCCCAUUGUACUAAAAUGUAUAUACAGAGAGUCCUUUUAAUUUCCCAUUAUACUGUAUACCAAAGCAUUCAUGCCUAAUACUAUUACUGAUAAAGAAACCACAAGCAUAUUUGCAGAGACUGAAUGUCUAUAAAGAGACGAUCAAGGGAGUCCCUUGAGAAAAUAAAGUCCCAUAUCAGAUUAUGUUGUGAAAAGGCUGGAACUAGUAUGCUCAGCUCAAUUACAGAAGAGUGUGUGUGUGUUUUAAAGAGAGUCAGUCCUGUUUUAUAUCACACAAUUAUUUUCUUAAGCCUAGGAACAUUACAUAAAUUAAAAUUUAAGAUAAUGGUCAUUUGGCACAAAACAAGCCCUAUGAAUGCUUUGGAUAAUAAUUAAAGAGGAUUUAGCAAGAUAAUCAGUUAAUAUUCUGUGGACUUUUGCAUCCAAAGUAAAAGCUGAGAGAUGUAGUGGCCCUGUUGGCAUGUUAUAUCAUUUAGUGUGAAUGGAAAUAUCACUUUCAUUUUGCUGAUCUCCCAGUGCAAGCAGGACCAACAAACCAUGAUCCCUGGCUUACCAAAUUGGCCAUGUGACACCCAACUAUGUCCCCGCUGGUACAAAAGGAUAAAAUGGGAGAGGUGUUAUUGAAUCACAGACUUGUAGAGUUGGAAGGGACACUAAGGAUCAUCUAUUCCAACCCACUUCAAUGCAGGAAUAGGCAGCCAUUCCAUACAGGGAUCAAAUCUGCAACCUUGGCGUUAUCAGUACCAUGCUCUAACCAGCUGAGCUAUUGGUUAGUUUUUGUUUUGGUUCUUGCUUUUAUUAUGUAUUUUGUGUUUGGAAGAAGGGCGGCAUACAAACUUUAAUAAGAAUAAUAAAAAAUAUUGUCAGCAGAUUUAUCUUUAUAAUAAAUUUAUUGUGUGGAUUGUCAGCAUUUUUUUUAAAGCAAUGGCAACCUCUGUGCAAAUAUUUUUUUAAAUCUAGUGAGAGAGAGAGAGAGAGAGGGACCAUGCAUAGCUGCAAAGCUCACUGGGUCACUCAUUAUCUCUGCAUUAUAUGUGUAUAUGCUUGCAUACAUAUAUAGCAAAAAAACAACAACCCAGAUAGACUAAAGUUUUAACAGUGUAAGUGGCUCCAAUAAAAAUGGAAAGUAAAAUGUCUUCUAACAGAUGUGAGAGUUUUAUGGGCACCUCCCAGUUAUUGUAAAAUCCCAUCAUGAGAUAACCUAGCAUGUGACACCAUCUUGUAAGACACAGUAACUACAGUGGUACCUCGGGUUAAGAACUUAAUUCGUUCCGGAGGUCCGUUCUUAACCUGAAACUGUUCUUAACCUGAAGCACCACUUUAGCUAAUGGGGCCUCCCACUGCCACCGCGCCACUGGAGCACGAUUUCUGUUCUUAUCCUGAAGCAAAGUUCUUUUGACCUCCCUGCCAAUUUAGAUACAGCAACUGAACUGGAGGCCCCUCAACUGUCUUCGGGUCCAGUGUUGGACCAUUUCGAUCGGAUACUCCCUGCUGAUGUGGAUAGAUUCCUCCAAGCUGGUAGGCCCACCACCUGCCUCCUCGAUCUGUGCCUGUCUUGGCUGAUUAGGGUGUGUCCAGAUGUCGCGCGGACCCCCCUGGUUGAAAUUAUCAAUUUGUCCCUUGGCACGGGGACAUUCCCAGGGGAACUGAAGGAAGCAGUGGUGUGCCUGCUCUUAAAGAAAACUUCACUAGAUCCUUUAAGGUAAAGGUAAAGGUACCCCUGCCCGUACGAGCCAGUCGUGUCCGACUCUAAGGUUGCGUGCUCAUCUCGCUCUAGAGGCCGUGAGCCGACGCCGUCCAAAGACACUUCCGGGUCACGUGGCCAGCAUGACGAAGCUGCUCUGGCGAGCCAGCACCAGCGCAGCACACGGAAACGCCGUUUACCUUCCCCCUAUAAAGCGGUACCUAUUUAUCUACUUGCACUUAAGAGUGCUUUUGAACUGCUAGGUGGGCAGGAGCUGGGACUGAACGACGGGAGCUCACCCCGCCGCGGGGAUUCGAACCGCCGACCAUACGAUCGGCAAGUCCUAGGCACUGAGGUUUUACCCACAGAGCCAGACCUAUCCAAUUACCGCCCAGUUUCAAAUCUUCCAUAUCUGGGUAAGGUAAUUGAGAGAGCAGUUGCUGAACAGCUUGGUAGGUUUCUGGAAGAAACAUCAGCUUUAGAUCCAUUUCAGUCUCGGUUCCGUCCUGGUUUUGGGACCGAGACAGCUCUGGUUGCCCUAACAGAUGAUCUCCGUAGACAACUGGAUCGAGGUGGGUCAGGACUGCUGAUCCUUUUAGAUUUAUCAGCAGCCUUUGACAUGGUCGAUCAUGAUCUUCUGGACCACUGCCUCGCUGACGUGGGGAUACAGGGCAUAGCCCGUAAAUGGCUGUGCUCUUUUAUCUCUGGCCAGGGACAGAGGCUGGCGCUAGGGAGGGAGAUGUUGUCGCACCACUCCUUGGUGUGUGGAGUGCUGCAGGGUGCAUUUCUCUCCCCAAAGCUUUUUAACAUCUUUAUGUGCCCCCUUGCCCAGAUUGUCCGGAGCUUUGGGCUGGGCUGUCACCAAUAUGCUGAUGACACUCAGCUCUAUCUGCUGAUGGAUGGCCACACUGACUCGGCACCGGACACACUGACUAGAUGCUUGGAAGCUGUGGCUGGAUGGUUUUGUGGGAGCCGAUUGAAACUAAAUCCUUUGAAGACAGAGGUUCUCUGGCUGAGUCGGGAUGGCGUGGAGAUGAGGGACCAACUCCCUUCUCUUGCGGGGGCCCAAUUAGUGCCAUUGUCUUCCGUUAAGAGUUUGGAUGUAAUCCUUGAUGCCUCCCUUUCCAUGGAGGCACAGGUUACAGCAACAGCCAAGACGACAUUUUUCUACCUUCGCCGCAUCAAGCAGUUGGUCCCUUACCUUUCCCGCCCCAACCUGGCCACAGUGAUCCAUGAGACAGUCACCUCCAGGCUUGACUACUGUAAUUCGCUCUACGCAGGGCUGCCCUUGAAGCUGUCCCAGAAACUCCAGCGGGAGCAGAAUGCUGCAGCGAGUCUCCUCACGGGGUCUCUGCCAUGGGAGCAUAUUCACCCAGUGCUUUUCCAGCUGCACUGCCUACCGGUGGAGUGCAGGGUCAGAUUUAAGGUGCUGCUUUUGACCUUUAAAGCCCUUCACAGCCUAGGACCCUCGUACCUACGGGACCGCCUCUCCCGGUAUGCCCAAUGGAGAGCCUCAAGGUCCAUAAUUAGCAACACCCUAGUGGUCCUGGGCCCUAAGGAAGUUAGAUUAGCUUCAACCAGAGCCAGGGCCUUUUCAACACUGGCUCCGGCCUGGUGGAACGCUCUGCCUCAUGAGACCAGGGCCCUGCAGGAUCUGAUUUCUUUCCGCUGGGCCUGUAAGACAGAGUUGUUCCGCCUGGCCUUUGGCUUGGAGUCAAUUUGAUUCCUUCCCCCUCUUUCUUUUUUCUUUUUCCUUUCUCCUCCUGUGAUGAGGCUGCAUUUUAAUAUUUUAAUGUUUCAAUAUUUUAAUGUUGUAUUUUAAUCUUGUUUUUAAGUUGUAUUCAUUCAACUUGUUUUUAUUAUUGCUUGUUAGCCACCCUGAGCCCAGCCUUGGCUGGGGAGGGCGGGGUAUAAAUAAAAAUUAUUAUUAUUCUUAUUAUUAUUAAUCUGAGGUACUAUUUCUGGGUUAGCGGAGUCUGUAACCUGAAGCGUAUGUAACCUGAACCUGAAGAGGUACCACUGUACUAGAUCCCCCAGAAAAUGCAUUGGACACAAUGUUUUGGGAAGUUCUCUUGCAAAAAGAACACCAUGGAUGAACCUACUGCUUCUUGCUCUUCUCUCCACUCCUGCUUAGGAGAUAGAACAACACUUGACCACACAGCAAGUGGACUCCUCCCCUUUGCACUGGAAGCCACGAAUCCUAAGAAAUCCUGUUCCUGCUUUGGCAGAUUUUGAAAAGCAUUUAUUAGUUUUGAGGUAAUGUGAUUUCAGCAUUGGAACUGCAGAAAAGAACAUGUUUAAAAAAUGCAUGUUGAUGGUUCCUCUUUCUCCCUCUCUUGCUGUUUAAAAAUAUAAGAGCUUAGCUAAGUACAGAAGGUAGAACAGUGUCUCAAAGUUGCUUGCUGAUGUGAGUGCCGUGAGUGUUUGUUCUUAUAAUGCCGCAAAGCAGCCAUCAUACAUGCAGUGAAAUUUCAUGACUUCCAAGUGAACUCUGCCUCCAUGUCCUGGAGUCAUUUUAAACUGUCCAACUUACUUAGCAUCUCUGGGGUUCUGAAGCCAUCUAGAGUAUUGUACAGAGAGCUGAUAGCAGCUGACCUCUUAUGUUCCUCGCUGCUAUCUUCUGCAGACUGGGAAACAUUAAUUUGAUUAUGCUGCUAAUGAAUCCUUUUUUUAUGUACUUGUGGUUAUUAUGUUAUGUUUUUAGUUUGUACCCAUAUCCUACAUGCAAAAAAAAAAGGGACUUUGCUAUAUGUGAAUGUGUGUUUAAAUAUAACAGGUGCCUGCAGCAGGGAACACCUGAUUGGCUGGUGUUUCAUAGAUAGAUAGAUAAGUAUUUUAUUACGACUUUUAUCAUUUAUAUGCUGCCCAUCUGACUGGGUAGCCCCAGCCAAUCUGGGCAGCUCCCAACAAAAAAUAGUAAAAGCACAAUAUAAUAUCACACACUAAAAACUUACCUGAGCAUGGAUGCCUUCAGGUGUCUUUUAAAAAUAACAUAGCUGUUCCACAGGGCUGGUGCGACUACCGAAAAAGCCGUCUGCCUGGUUCCCUGUAACCAGACUAUGGCUUUGGAGGGUGUACGAACAUGCUGCUUGUUCACAUUAUACUUCAGUUUGUUUAAAACAAUAGUUUUAUGGUUACAUGUGAACCAAGCCACAGGAUUUGGUUCACAAGUCCAAGACUAUCCACUAAGGUGGAGUCAGGGUUUGAACAUAGGUUUCCCAAUGCAAGGCAUUACCUCAGCCUAGCUUUCCACACAGUGUUGUAUGAGAUGGAAAUGGGAUGAUAAUAAUAAUAAUAAUAAUAAUAAUAAUAAUAAUAAUAAUAAUAAUUUAUUUAUACCCCACCCAUCAGGCUGGGUUUCUCCAGGCACUCUGGGUGGCUCCCAACCUAAUAUUAAAACACAAUACAGCAUUGAACAUUAAAAACUUCCCUAAACAGGGCUGCCUUCAGAUGUCUUUUAAAAGUAGGAUAGUGGCUUAUUUCCUUGACAUCUGAUGGGAGGACGUUCCACAGGGCAGGCACCACUACCAAGAAGGCCCUCUGCCUGGUUCCCUGUAACUUCGCUUCUCGCAGUGAGGGAACCGCCAGAAGGCCCUCGGCGCUGGACCUCAGUGUCCAGGCUGAACAAUGUGGGUGGAGAUGCUCCUUCAGGUAUACAGGACUGAGGCUGUUUAGGGCUUUAAAGGUCAGCACCAACACUUUGAACUGUGCUCAGAAACGUACUGGGAGCCAAUGCUGGUCUCUCAGGACCGGUUUUAUAUGGUCCCGGCGGCCACACCCAGUCACCAGUCUAGUUGCUGGUUUCUGGAUUAAUUGGAAUUACUCCCAUGUAUGCUAUCUCAACCCUCUUGGAAGAAGGAGGACAAAUGUGGUGAACAAAUAAGACUAGCUAGUUUAAUCUAAAAGUUCUGACUGCCUGACUACACAACGUAUACUUUUUUAAACAAAAAAUCCUUAGCUUUUCAUUUAGCAGACUUCUUGGUGCAUCCUGAAUUGUCUGCUGUGAUAUCACCACAUAAAAAUAGGCCAUUUGGAACACUGCAUUGGAGGGAGCCAGUCCCGUAUUUGACUCCCACAUUCCAUGACAGCUGAAUUCCAGUCGCACUUAUCAGUAGCUGUCUUGUACACUGGUUGCAAUGCCUUGGGGAUAGUUCUAAACUAAUUCAUAUUCUCUUAUUUAAACUUCGAACUCAUUCUUGAUUUAAUUGCUGUAGUGUGAGACAUUUGAAUUUGUAGCUGCCUAGAAUUGGUUCGGAAUUCCUCCCCCCCCACCCCACCCCACUUUCCCAUGUUGAUGCUCUUGGGCCGCUGUGUGUCACUGUCCGAGGACACAACUUCUUAUUUGUUGGGUCUCUGAAGUCAGGGCAGCAGUAUUUCAAUAUUUGUUUGCACUCAGAUGAUUGAAGUUGGAUUUUUGCUGUUUAAAUACCAGUAUUUAAAAUACAAAAAGCUGCCAUCACCACCUCACUGCCUCUGUUUGCUUUCCCAUUAUGUUCAUGCAAGAUUCCAUUUUCCUCUUUCUUCACAUUCUCCAGGUCUAUAACAAACCCCAUCUGAACCUUUUAUCCACCCACUAAGUCCAGAUUAAUUUAUUGCAUUCCAUACAGCUCUCUAACUGCUUCUUCUAAAUGUGUGAUGGGGCUUAGAGGUGUGCAAAGGGAUUCAGAGAUAAGGAGGGGGAGAUGCUUCCCAAUUCCAUCUUGCAGUGAAAGGUUGAGUUAUAAUACUAUUGCCUCUGAUUUUUGUUACACGUGGCCAUGGAAUAAGACGCAGGACGAAUGACUGAUUAGAGCUCAUGUUUAGCUAAAUUAACAUCUCAAGUCCUUUUUUAUGGCUAAAUCUCAGUUCUUCAUAAUCUAAAAGCAAAUAUUUGCCUUUAAUAUCUCUGAUUUAUGCAUAGAAUACCAUGUGCUGUUCAUUUCCCUCUUAAUUAUUAUUAUUUCUUUAAAACCGCUUUCAGGCAGAAAGUCAAAGCCUGCUGUGUUUUAUAUUAUACUCUGCAACUCAUUUUCCUCCCCCCCCACCCUAAAUGAAACAUCUAAUUAAUCUAUGUACUGUGAAUGCUUUCUGUUUAAACUCUCCAUGCUCAUAAAAAGAGCUGGACAAAAGUAUAAAAUGUAGCUAAUUUGUUACAGCUAAGGGGAAACAGUGGAUGUGAAAUUAUCUUUUUAUAUUCCCAAAUGCCUCUGCAGAUUGGGGGUCAGCGCACCCACUGCAUAAAAGAACCAAAUGAAGGAAAUGCCAACUGAAGGAAAUUUGAAGAGGCCCUUGAUAUUCCACUGGAAGUGGAAUUCUCCCUAUUAAGAAUUAUACAAUAGCAUAUUGUUGGUUUUCUGUAAUUUAUUAUUUUAUUUUUAGCAAUAACAACAACAAAAAAUCCAACGCUUUGAUUUUUUUGUGUUGUCACCAUUAAGGAUCAUUUUGAUCCUUAUCCUUUCAGAAAUGAGAGAUAAUUUUGAUUUUGCAACCCUUUAGUAGCAAAGCCAAUUAUCUUCAGAACUUUGAAAGUUCUUACCUGUCCUCAUUAUAGCUGCACACUACCGAACAGGUAAAUGCUUUAAGAAGCCUCACUUGCAGUCUGCAGCUCACUUAACUGAACACUGUGAAUUAAGAUUAUUUAAUCCACACCUACCUGGAUUUGUAGCUCAGAUCUGUCAGACUGAUAAAAUGUAUAUAUCUUAUAUACAUAAGUUAUUCAAUAAGUUAUUAAGUUAAGUUAAGUGAUAAGUUAUUCAAAUGAGAAAGGGUCAAGGGGUCUAGGUUUGACUGAGACAUGGUCAUAAAUUUAUGCUGCAACCAUUGUUACUUUUGUUUUAUUCUUAUAUCCUGUUAUUUGUUUAGCAUGCAGCCUAGUUCUAUGCAUGAUUACUUAGAAAUAAACCUCAGAGAAUACUAUGGAACUUACUCCUAAGUAGAUACACACAGGAAUGUGACCUUAAAAUAGGUUCCCUUCUAGUGGCCAUGUCUCGGUACUGUUGCAUCCAUGCUGCUUAGAUUCACCAUUUCUGUUAUGUACUCUGAGAUCAGUUACUACACUUAAGUGCUUUCCUAUGAUUAAAUCCCAACUAAGCUCGUUGGAGUUGACUUCCAAUCAUGUUUGAGAUCUUGUCAUUGUCAUUUUAAAAUUGGGGGGGGGGGGUCAAUGGCAUUAAGGUAUUACUUUGUUAAAAAUCAUGAAGGUUUGAAACAUUACACUGAAAUCCGGAGGUGCAAUGUUCAGUUCAUUGCAUUGCUGUAAAUGUACUUUGUGACCUUGGACAAAUUACUUUGGCCUCAAUCAGAGAUGGUCACAUGCAACCAGAUGUGGUGCUGGUGAGAAUCAUGCACAAUACAUAUGAGAGGAUACACUUUCUUUUCUGCACUGAGAGACAUGUGAGCCUGUUCUCCUUUGCCUGCAUUCUGCAUGGAAAUGAGAGCUUUUAUGCAGUUAUGUGCAUCCUGCCCCUUUCAGUUUGCACCAGCACUCCCAUGUAUAGGUCAACUAGUUUAUGUGCAGCAGCAUCAUGUGCUGAUUUGCACAUGGAGAAGGCAAAUGGUAGCCUCUGCUGGUGAGCUUCCUGUCUUAUCCUGUCUUAUCCAGUUCUGUGGGAUCUGUUCCAGCUAUUGAGGCCAUAGGAUGUUGACAUUGUGCUUCAAAGUGUCCAUUCCACCUCUUGACCCUUGCCUAUCCCGGCUUGUCCAUUCAAGCUGGCAAGUGGGGAGGAUCUAGUCAGGGGAAGUCCAGGUGAUGGUUAACACAUAAUUUUGGUGCUGGGUUGUCCUAACUGUCUUGAAUGAGGAAGUACUAUGCCCCCUCCUGGAAAAACCCUCCCUAGACCCUGAGGUGUUGACAACUAUCAUCCAGUGUCUAAUACCACCUUUUUGAGUAAGGGGCUCAAGCAGACAGCGGCAGUUCACCUAAAGUCACUAUUGGAGGAAACAGAUUACCAGGAGCCAUUCCAGGCAUUCCUGCCAUUUUCAGGCAUGUGUUGGGCAUAAAUUCAGCCGUGUUCACCCUGACAUGAGCUCAUUCAAGGGAGAGACAGGAGGAGUGCAACCCUACUGCUACCAUUGGAUAUCUCAGUGGCUUUUGACACCAUUGACCAUAGUCAAUGGAGCAUUUCUGUUGGGAGUUGGAGGCACUGUUCUGCUCCUUCUUGCAUGACCGUUACCAGAGAAUAGCAUCAGGGGACUACAUGUAUACAGCUCUACUUUUCCAUUAAAUCUGAGUCAGGGGAGGCCAUGCAUAAGCUGAACACAUGACUGGAUACAGUGGUGGAGUAGAUGAGGAUCAAUAGAUUGAAGCUGAGUCCUGCUUCACUAUGGGUAAGUGAUUCCCAGGUCUGCCUGUUCUAGAUAUGGUUGCACUCCCUCUGAAAGUGUAGGAUGUUCUUGAGACCAUAUUUAUCCAUGGAGGCCCUUAUGGCCUCUAUGGUAAAAAAAAUGCCUAUCAUCAGCUGGUGCAUCAACUGCACCCUUUCCUGGACAUGGAUAACAUGGCCACUGUGAUGUGUGCAUUGAUAUUAAAUCAUCAUCAUCCUCUACAUUUUUUCGUGCAAAUAGGAUCUGGGGCAAGUUUUGACUUGCAUAGUCAACUGAUCAGUGCAUACUAUUCUCAACCCUUCUGUUCAUUGGCAAGAUAGGUUCAAGAUUAUGGUUUUUCUGUUUUCAGAUACCAUGUUUAAAGGGGGGUGGGGGAGAUACUGCAGUACCUCCAAACCCAAUUCCUUUGGGUUGACAGAUGUUUGGUCUGUGGUGGAUCUCAGCUUGAGAAUAUGAAGAACCAAUAAGCUGUUGACAUUACUGAAAUAUUUAGAAGUGAAAUGUCUGUCUCACUACUAAAAUUCAUAAUGAGCACUGAGGGGGAAAAGAAUUAGAUAAAUGCACAGUAUGAUGAAUUGUAUCAGCAGAAUUCCCUCCCUCCUUCCUUAAUGGGAUUUUGUCAAGAGUUUUGCAGGAGGCACCAGCUGAUCCUUAAUGCCUUGAGAACUUAGCAUUUGAAUUCUUUACUGUGUUCAAAAGCAAUUUAGGAAAUAUUACCAUAGCAAGAAAGAUGCUCCAAAACAGUAAUAUAUGAAGUCUCAAUGGGAUUGCUUAUUUGCAGGGGAAGCUCUCACAGUAAAAAAUACUAUAAAUCCUAUAUAAGUCAGUAAAUGAGUAAAGAGAAGACAAAAUAAUUAUCAAGAUAAUGUUCAAAAUCCUUUAAGUACUCGGGGAUUACAGUAGAAUUCAAUUUAUCUGAACCAAGGCUAUCUGCAACCCAUAGAAAUUUAAAGAAUAUGAAAGUCAUUUAGUUUGACAUUUUUUGAAUGAAGUAUGAUCCAGGAAACCCAGAUUUGCUAAGUUAUUGCUAUGCAUAUUGUACCAAAAGAGUAUUAAAAGAGUUGCUGGAACACCACCAAGCCUGGAUAACCUCCCUUCUGAACUGGAAGCCCUAGAUUGUAUCCAACUAAAUUUUACUCAGAGUAGCCACAUUGAAAUCAAUGGUAGUCAUGCUCGUAAAUUUGGUGCACCCAUAACACACCAUUUCUUCAUCACAGUAGAGGUCUCUGAAUAGGUACCUUCCAACUUCUCUUGCCUAAAGAUGAUAGAGAAUAAUAGAGAAUAAAAUCUGCUUCAUAAUGUCCAAGCCCAACACAAAGCAAGCCAAGGUACAGAAAGAACAGACUGCUGAGCUGCAGGAGUUGCCCCUUUGCACAUGUGAAUUAACUUUGGAUUAGGGGGAGGAUAAUUUUUUUAAUGGAAGUUUGAAAGUGGGACAUGCCAAAUAGCAUCUUUCAUGCUUUUUAAGUGCUUUAAAAUGGAGGGAGAGGGCAUAUUGUCAGGAAAGCAUUAUUCAAUGUUUGGGUGAGAUAUAAGGAUUUGUUGGAAAGUAAAACACCAAGGUGGCGAUCACCAAUGGAGGCUAAGGCUCUGAAAAAAACAAAUAUGGAGACAAACUGGCCAAAAUAUUGUGAAAUUUUAGAACAAGUUGGAGAUAAAUUAAAAUUGCAGAGCUUUGACAAAUUAAAAACUAAAGUUCGAGAUUGGCUGCACUAUUAUCAAAUAAGGGAGGUUUUUAAUUUAGAUAAAAAGAUUGGCUUCCAGGAGGAAAAAUCUAAACUGGAAACGGAAUUGCUAGAACCUAAAACUAAAAACCUGUCAAGAAUGUAUAACCUGCUGUUGAAAUGGAAUACACAGGAUGAAAUGGUUAAAUCUGCUAUGAUUAAAUGGGCGCAAGAUGUUGGGCAUAAUAUCAUGUUUGCUGACUGGGAAUGGUUAUGGACAACAGGUAAAAAAUUUACGGCUUGUAACGCCUUAAGAGAAAAUAUAAUGAAAAUGAUUUACAGGUGGUACUUAACCCCAGUCAAGCUAGCAAAAAUUUAUCAUUCGCCUGAUAAUAAAUGUUGGAAAUGUAAAGAAAAUGAAGGUACUUUUUUCCACCUUUGGUGGACGUGCCCAAAGAUCAAGGCCUUCUGGGAAAUGAUAUAUAAUGAACUAAAAAAGGUAUUGAAAUAUACUUUCUUGAAGAAACCAGAGGCCUUCCUCUUGGGCAUGGUCGGCCAAUUGGUGCGAAGGGAAGACAGGAAUUUCUUUAUGUAUGCGACAGCAGCGGGAAGUUUUGUUUUUGGGAAAUACUGGAAGACACAAGAAUUGCCUACCCGAGAAGAAUGGCAGAGAAAAGUGAUAGACUAUAUGGAACUGGCUGAGAUGACCGGCAGAAUUCGAGAUCAGGAAGAAGGGUCGAUGGAAGAAGAUUGGAAAAAAUUUAAAAUAUAUCUUCAGAAAUACUGUAAUAUAAAAGAAUGUUAGAAAAGGUUGGAGAAGAAUAUUAGACCGUAUUGGCAGACAGAGUAUAAUGGAAUAAGUAAAUAUGAAGUGUAAAAUAAAGAUAGAGGAGAAUUAAAUACUUUCGAAUGUUAAAAUAAGUAAAUGAAAAGAAGGUUAGAAGGAUUUGCUGGAGAUACGAUUCAAACUAGAAUACAAAGCAGAGAGGUGAGAGGAAGUCACGGAAAUAAGUAAAUGGGAAAACGGCUUUAAAGGUUUAAUUUGAUUUUUGGUUAUCUUUUUAUGGUGAUUUUUUGUCUUUUGCAUUUUUCUUUUGUAUUGUUUGUUUUUUGUAUAAGAUGUAUGUGAUUUGUUUUUCUUUUUCUACUUUUUUCUUUUUCUGUAAUUUUUAAAAUUGGAAUAAAUAUUCUUAAAAAAAAAAAAAUGGAGGGAGAGGGGUUUCCAGUGUCAGCUAGGAAUGUACGGUAUCUGUUGGGGAUGUGCACCAGGCACAAGAUUUGAUUUGUAUCUAUCAUGUUGGGAAGCAGCAUGACUUGUUUGGAAGCCACACUGUGUCUUUUCGAUUUGACUUGUUAUUUGAUACCAAAUCGGAUCUGUUAAAAAUGAAGUUCUGAUCCCAUACACCCUAUUCACUACAAUAGGAAAUCUGAAGUGGCUAUAACUUUUUUCUUUUUCACAGAGUGGAUGGAAUUUGCAGGCAUAGCAGCUUUUCUAAAGUGGAUUUAACUUACCAAAUUGUAGGUGGAUACGUCCCAGGAUUUUCAUGUAGGGCACCUUUUUCUUUUUCUGCCAGAAUUGGAUGCAUUUGCAGACAUGGGAUGAAGCCUGACAGAUUUUAGAAGGAUAGUUAUAAUGGUUCUCUCCCAAGAGAAGACUACUGUUUUGGAGUGAGUACAAUAAGAAUCACGGGGGGGGGGGGGGGCACGGGGUUGCAUUGGGAAUUAAUCUCCUGGCAAGGGCCCUGUUACCUCAAGGGGUGGGGGUGGGGUUCUGCCUCCCAUGAAUUUUGGGGGAUACUAUGAUAGACUAAACUAAAGCACAGUUUUAAAUCCCUUGCCCCAAAUCAAUGUGAUUGGAAUGCCCUUGGGAAAUAAUUCACUGUGAUGAAAAGCUAAACCAGUUUUUCAAGAUGUAAGAUCCCACCACCACUUUCCCUCUCAAGUUCUGGGUGUUUUCUUAGUUGGUUUGUUGAGUUUUGGAAAACAAAAACAAAUGGUUGCACAUUUUGUGGGCAGCUGAGGCUACAGAGCCACUCUGAAUUUAAGGGAGUCUUUGAUCUGACUCAAGAUAACUUGUCAACUGUGCGAUCUGGCUCAGAAUAGUCAGAACCUCUCCCCAAAUCACACCAAUUUGUUUCAUAAUGUUAGGUAUACACAGAGCUGCUACAUACCCCUCAUAUCUGUUUGCAGGAUGCAAUAUGUGUCUACUAAUAUUAUUAUAUCACAAUGGCAUUGUAUGCAUUCUUCAGCAUACAGAGGAAUGACUGAUAUCACUGUCAGCUGACUGUGUUUUUGCCUAAAACAACAAAUGCACUGUUUGUAGUCUGUUUUUAUAUGCAACUUAGGGGUUCUGUAUUCAUUGCUAUCCCUUGGGGCUCAAGCAGCCUUGGUAGCAUGGCUUCCAUCAGCUUUGGCUGCUGGCCCAACAGCAUCCCUUUCUCGACAGAGAUAGCCUAACUACUGUUAUCUGUGCUCUGGUAACCUCUAGAUUAGAUUAUUGCAACGCUAUACACAUUUCAAUGUUAUACAUAAGACUGUCUCUGAAGACAGUUAAGAAACUUCGCCUAGUGCAGAAUUUGAUGGCCAGUUUACUCACUGUGGCACAUAGCAGCCAACUCCUAGAUGCCAAGGUCAGUCAAUUAUAUGGGGCAGGGCUUACCUGCACACACACACACGCACACUUGAAUGUUUUAUUUAUGUUGGCUGCACUACUGAGUGUAUAAUGCCAAUGCUAGCCUGACUGCACUGGCUGCCAAUUAGUGUCUGGGCACAAUUCAAAGUGCAGGUUUUGACCUAUGAAGCGUUAAAUGGCUCAGGACCACAAUACCUGAAGGACCACCUCUCCCCGAGUGAACCAAUCCAGAACCUGCACUUAUCAUUUGAGUACCUCCAUGAGACAUCUACUGGGAAGAGUUGCUGUGCUCACUCGGCCUGGCCUCCUGAGCUGCUUUGUUCCUUUGAAUAAAGCUCAUUAACUUCACUGACACCGUCUGAGUUGUUUCCGACCUGCUCCAGGCACCCACCCUGACAUUCAUUCUCUACCCAGUUUUCCCUCUGGUCCCACCUACCACUGACACGUGUGGCCCUAAGAAGGUAGGCCAGAAAGGGAUGGUCCUUUGGCUGAAAAAUGUCCCCCACCCCUGCUGUAGUGGCAGCAACAUUCACUAAUCCAUUGCUGAGUCUGGGUACCUCCUCUUCAUGCAACAGCUGCAGAAGAUAUUUCCUCCUGAUAGCAUAUAAUAGGGCUGCAUGCCAUGUUCAGCAUCAUCGUUAACACCCAACACUGGGGUUUUCCAACUCAGUCGAGGGCUGGGCUUUUGAAAGGAAAAUAUUAUGGCAUCUAUUACAUGGAUAUGCCUUCACUAUUACUUGCUAGUUAACCAGUGCAUUUCAUGCUUGAAAUAAUGCUUAAGAGCUUACGAAAAGAAUUGAUUCUCAAGCGCUUUAAAUGUACCUCUGUGAGUCAUCAUUUUAAGGAACCCACUCUAACCAAAGUAUCAUCAUGUCAUGUUCCCACUUAAAAGGAAAUACAUUUACUAGGCUGCAAAGCUGAAGGAAACUUGUUUGUUUAUUUUUUACUUUUCACAGCCAAAAGAAGUACAUUUGUAUUUUCCUGAAUAUUUUUAAAAACAUUUUUUUUUAAAUUUUCCCCCCGGUUGUAUGGAGAACAAACAGAAAAUAUAAAGUCGACAUAAAACCACCACACGUCUGUAACAAAACAAGAGAGCAGAAACAUUAGUACUCUAUAGAAGGAAAUCAUACAUGGGGGAGGCAAAUAUAAGUGCAAGUACAAAAACAAAGGCUGGACCUUAAAACAAGUCUGGGAGAACAUGUGUUUGCAUGGUAGCAUCCUGAUCCUGGGAUUUAUAUGAAAGAGAAGACUGGGAGAAUAUGUGUUUGCAUGGUAACAACCUGAUCCUGGGAUUUAUUUGAUGGUUCCUUACCAAUCUCACAUAAAUACUUCUGACUAUGGUUUUCUUUCACCUUCCACAAAUACUCCACCCUGCCUCCUACAAACACAAGUGAAAGCUGUUAAAGACAUAUCUGCGUUGAGGUUUUGAAAGAAUUUGGAAAUAAAGUUAUUGCACUGGUUCUCCAAAUGCCAUAGAAGAGGACCAGGUCAGCCAAAAAGUCCACAAAACUGACAAUUUCAUUAUGAAAUUGAGGGCAGAAGUUUCUUUUCUUUUAUGGGUUCUUGCACAUUUUCUGGAAUCCUGUCACAGCCUGUUUAGUGCUUUAAAACUUGAGAAUUUUAGAACAGAGGUUCUCAAUCAUUUUAAGCCCAGGACCACAUUUGGAAAUCCAAAAAACAGUUGUGAAGACCAUAGACUACUAAUUUAACAGAAGGAAAAUGGAAAGGUGGCUGUCUCAGGGCGCCCAUGGGUGCCACAUUGGAGACCCCAGCUUUAGAAGAUGUUGAGCACUGAUUUUAGCAUUGCUCCAUCUUCAGAAAUGCAGGGUAAACAGCUUUCACAAUUUCACUGGCAUUCUGUGUAGUUUUGUAGUUUGCUUGAAGAAUUGGCUGGGAAAACCCCCCGGAAUCCCAGCCAGGAAAUGCACUACAAGCAAUUAAGAGGGUGUUUGUUUUAAGCCAGGAUUUGGAAUUGAAACUGUACUGCAUUUCGUCUGUGGCUUCUCAAAAUCCCCCACCCACUUCAAAGGACAGCAUUUAACAGACAGUAAAGAUGAAGGAAAUUCAGAGGGCCUUUUUUUGAAAAUGAAGUGGAAGCAGACAACUACUAGGCAUGUGGCCACUCCUUAAAAACCGAGAGUAGGUGAUGCCUGUAACUGGACAGAGACCAUUCUGACAUAAGUGAUAAUCACAUGACUGUAGACUUCAGAGGAUUUGCACAUGUGAAUGAGUCCCUGCAGAUCAAAAAUCACAAGUAGAAACGGCAUAUUAUUUUCAAUACAGCAUUUUUUCAGUAUGAAUUCAGCCACAUUGUAAGCCCUUUAUUUUCGCCACACACUCUCUCUUCAGAUUUUCAAGACAGUGCAGGAAGCGAUUGCCACUUCCUUCAUGUUACCCCCAUACUCAUCAUGUUACCCUUGGCAGUUGGACUUGUGUAAAGCCACCUCUUAAAACUCAAUCCCAUCCAUGUUUACUUAGAAGUUCAACUCACUUCCUUGGACUUACUUAACAUGUGCUUGGGACUGUAACCUUAGAAGGUUGAUUUCUGACUUUAUCAUUCCUAGAAAACAUCACCUUUGUCUUUCUGUUUUAGUUCUGAUUUAUCAAAGAGAUCAAUGGAUUUAAAAAAUCGGCACAAAGGGCUACUACAUGCUUUUUAUGCUUGUUCAGUUUUUAGCAAUGCACUGUUGCAGUAGUCUUCCUAACCACAAUAGCCUGGUGAUUGUUUAAUCAGACAUCAACUGCAAAUGAAACAUAGAGGAUGAAUCAGGAAAGACAAGUAUAAAAGAGACCCAUCAGUUUUCAGAAUAGUUCUAUGUAUGUUUUCCUAAAACAAAAAUUACAUUUGAGCUGUUCUUAAAGGAUUCGUGUUUUUAUUUAUUCCCAAGUGUAGCAGCACCCAGAGGUGAAAAGCUGGCUAAUUGCAGAUUCUGAUGUGCCCUAUAGUACUCUGAGACAAGUUCCCUUUGAAUGAGGAUUAUAAUAUUUUUUCAGGUGGUAGGUUCCAGUGUCUUCUAUGUAAACAGCUGAUAUAAACCAAACCAGAUGUUGCCUUUCCUACAUAUUUUACAAAAUUCACUGUAAGCAAUCAAAUCAAGUGAACCCUGCUAUUAAAAGAGAUUCUCCUGUUCUGAGCUGAACCCACACAUAAAACCCUUACUGGACUGGCUCAUAUGCAUAUAUUAUCAUUACCUGGUUUAUCAGCAUUUGAUGAUCAGGAGCUGACUCUGCAAACUAACCCCAGUACAGCGUGUUAUUAAUUAUUGUUGUUGUUUUUAGUAAUAUUUAUUACUUAAAAUUAUACUUCCCUUCAAAUGAAAUAACAAGGUUCACACACACACACACACACACACACACACACACAAAAUGUUGUUGCCAUCCAUCUGUCUUGAGAGACAGUAGAGUGCACCUCGGGGGUGAAGUCAAACUGCUGCGUUUGGCUUUUUCUGCAACAAAAUAGAAGUACAAUAAAACUACAGUUAAACAACAGAUGCUGCUUGAAUGGCAACUAAGUUAAAAAGAAACCAACAUGUUUCAGUGGACAGCAUUUUUCUAUGCUAAAUAUUAGGUCUAUAGCAGUGUUUCCCAAACUUGGGUCUCCAGCUGUGUGUAGACUACAACUCCCAUCAUCCCUAGCUAGCAGGACCAGUGGUCAGGGAUGAUGGGAGUCGUAGUCCAAUAACAGCUGGAGACCCAGGUUUGGGAAACACUGACCCAAAGUAUUUAGAUUAGCUGUGGGGGGAGGUCACAUUAAAAUAAGUCUAACGUCCGGUGUAAACAGGCUGUUGCCAUUCUCAUCUCAGAUGGUAGUAAGGUGUGUCUGUUUGAGGCUUCUGAUGGGGCACAGCCAGUUGCAGAAGAUGCAGGACACUCAUAUAGAGCUCCAAACAGUCCACAUUCCAGAUGUGGGUCUUUGUGGACUUCUUUGUGAUGUAAUCCAAAGAAGUGAUGGUAUGUUAUUGGUGACACAUUCUAUUCUGCCUUUCCUCUGCUGUUUUGCUCAGUAGCAUGGAAGACAGUGUGGAGGAAGCUAUUGCAAAGAUAAUAUUUUUAAUAAUUUCCUGGUAAGUGGAACCUGUGCUUGUUGUCUCUGGCCUUUUGGCCACUUUGCACAGAAACAAUGUUUGCUGUGGCUAAACUAGUGUAGGCUGCAGUUGGUGGCAGACCUUGAGGUCUCAAAUUUCAGUGACACCCUGUGUGAUGCCAAAAUUUGGCAAACCCCCCCCCACCUCUUGCCUUCCAUGCUGUGUAAUAGUUGCAGCACCCCCAAGUCUCUGCACCCUGUGUGACUGAACCAGUUAUGCUCCCGUAAAUCCGCCUCUGCUGCAGUAAAAUACUUAAAACUGUAGGAAUGAGACACAUGUCUCCUAACGCGUAAUGGAUAUGUGCCAGGGAGCCACAGUUCCCCAUCACAUGCAUCCUUCAUAUCACUAAGUGUUAGGAGAAGUGGAUCUCCUUUCCACAUGUUAUAUUCAUCAUCAUCAUCAUUUCAGCUUGUAAACCUCCUUGUGUAUAGUAAUAUAAAAAGGUGGAAUGUAAAUUAAAAGUGAAAUGAAAUAGGAAACAACAGUGGAACACCAGACUAACUGCAAUAAACAUACUUGCCAAAUAAAGCAGGACACACACACACACACACACACACACCCCAACUUAGAAAUCUUCCCUGAAUGGGCCCCUUUAUUGUAAGCCGUGUAAAAACGUGUACAGCACUGUUAUCUGUACAUAAAAAUAGUUUACAGGUUGACACCCUUAACUGACUGGUUUCCAUUCUGAAGGAAUUACUGAGGGCAUGAAUUGUUUUUUGUGAGAGGUUGCUGGGGUAAACAUGAUGUCAGAAUUACUUCUUCCUACUGAGCAAGAAGCAAUGUAUUCCAGCCCAUAUUUUGCUCUAAAGGGGGUUGGGGGUGGAAGAUGUGUCAUCCCUGGUAAGAAUGACUCAAACAGAUUUCACUGACUGCUGAAAUGUUCGAUGGUAAAUUAAGUGUGUCUUUUCCAUGGCACACUGGUACUUUGAGAUGCACUUGUAAUUCUUUGUGUUCGAAACUGUUUGGUGUUUCUAACCCUAUUCUGAAAGCCUUGUCCUAGUUGUGAAAUAAUCCUUCCAUAAAAUAUAAGCUGCUUACUGAUAAUAGGUACGGUAGGUAAAUUUGUUUCAGGCACUGUUUUAUUGUCAUUUGUUCAGCCAAACUGCUUUUCAGAAACCCAUUAUAAAUAAUGUUCAUGCAUUUAAAUAUGACUAUUAAAUUACUUUCAAUUUAGAGCUCAGGAAUGUGAGGGUGGGGUGGGUGGGUUUUUUGUUUUUUGUUUUGGUUGCAACAAAGAACAAAACACACACCCCCUUUGAUGUGCAGUGCAACUAUAAUUUUAAAUAUAAUACUUUGCAUAUCUAGAGCAUUGUCUGUGUUGUCAGACAGCAAUGAAUUCAGUCAUGGCAUGUUGCUGUGCAUAUUUUAAGUUAAACUCUCUAGUAUGUUCUCUGCAGUCCUUAAUAAAACAAACAGAUGCAUUUGCUCCUUCCUCCAGCCCAAGCUUUGCUUUUAAACCAAAUAUUCUCAUCCUCCUAGGAGGCCACCUUUUCAGUGAUUAACUUUUUAGUACUUCAUUAGAGACUCAAGAGUUCUUAACUAACAAGUGCCCUGGUGUUUUUCAGACCCUCCACUGCUCUCUACUUCAGAUGUGGCCAGGAGGUGUGAUGACCUUCCACAGUGGCCACAAUGUUAGGAACAAAGACAUCCCAGGAAAGAAAGAAGAUUUGCUAGCUUUGUAUAAGGGGGAAAAACCCAUUUGAACUCUGCUCAGAAAGCAUUUACAGAGGGUAUCCAGGCUCCUGAUUCUUCCUAAAUGCCUGACUUUAGCAUUUUUUUUAGAGAGAGACACUGUCAUGUUAAUUAAGGCUAAAGACCAAUCUGUUUUGGUUCUUCUCACCACAGUACUUCACUUCAGGAAUCCCUUGAUUAAAAAUGGAUCAUUUGGAUUCGCCUCAUCAGUACAAAUAAUUUCUAGGAACAUCAAACUGAAAAUCACCCCGUUUCCUAAGGAAGCUUAUAAAUGCCGAUUCCAGAAUAAUGUUCAAGGGCCUUUGGUGAGGUGGGUGUGAAUUUUAUGAAGUACAAAAGGACUUUGAGGGAGAGAAUGCAGCCAACAAAUGUUCUAGCACUGUCUGCAAAGGCCAAUUCCUCAAUUCCAUCUCUUGGUCACAUUAAUUUUCUUGUGCGGAAGGUCAUCAAGUUGAAUGGAAAAUGCAGGCAAUGCUAUCUGCAUGGGCCACUGAUCCAUUUAGUGCAUUCCCUACAAUAAUAUAUUUAACUAAACAGGUCCUUCUGUCUUCCUCCACCUGCCAUAAUGAGCUUUACUAGUUGAUCCUCUUACUUCUAUAAACUAGAUCUUUAUAGAAAAUUGAAAUUUGUCUACUUAAGGUAGGGAUUUGGGGCUUAUCCACACAUACCUUUUGCCUUUUAUUUCCAGGGUUUUUGUUUGCUUGCUUUGUCCCAAGCUUUCCCCACGAAAACCCGCUCUUUAUUGCUGAAUCACAGCAAAUGUCAGUCUGGGUUUUCCACAGAUUGCUGUUUGCUCCAAUUGAGCCUUAAAGAGUGGGGUUUUGAAACGAGAGCACUGAGAAGAAGAAUUUAUUAUUUAUACCCUGCCCAUCUUGCUGGGCUUCCCCAGCCACUCUGGGCAGCUUCCAACAAAAUAUUAAAAGUACAUUAAAAGAUCAGUCAUUUAAAAUUUCCCUAGACGGGGCUGCCUUCAGAUGUCUUCUAAAAGUCAGAUAGUUGUUUAUUUCCUUAACAUCUGAUGGGAGGGCGUUCCACAGGGCGGGUGCCACUACUGAGAAGGCCCUCUGCCCUGUUCCCUGUAACUUGGCUUCUCACAGUGAGAGAACCACCAGAAGGCCCUCGGAGCUGGACCUCAGUGUCCUGGACCUCAGUGUCCAGGCUGAACGAUGGGGGUGGAGACGCUCCUUCAGUUAUACUGGGCUGAGGCCGUUUAGAGCUUUAAAGUUUAGCACCAACACUUUGAACUGUGCUCAGAAACGUACUGGAAGCCAAUGUAAGUCUUUCAAGACCAGUGUUAUGUGGUCUUGGCAGCUACUCCCAGUCACCAGUCUAGCUGCUGCAUUCUGGAUUAGUUGUAGUUUCUGGGUCACCUUCAAAGGGGGGUGCUUGGACAUGAAGCCUCAGAUCAGGGGCCAUGCCUGUGAAGAGUGGAGAAAAGGUAAGUGUGGAUGAGCCCUUAGUAUUUGUGUGUGCAAAACACAGUUAUCUAAAAGCUGGAAAUAAUGGGCAUGAUUUUGAGCAUAUCUAAGUCCCGUUGGUCUCAGUGCGAAUGUUACUUGUGCACAUAGGUUUUUUCCUACUGAAUUCAAUUGGGCUUGGAAAUGCUUACCUUUGGCUUCUUUCUCUGACAUUUUUGUUGCAUUUUAAAUCUUUCAAGAGAAACACAUUUAUCAUUGAACAGCCCAUUUGGAUGUUGUCAUGUUACUUAUUUUUUUACUACUGUCACUGAUAUGCUUAAUUUUUAGUAUAUAGCACUCCACAGUAAAUAAAAUCAGAGGAUUUUAUCACCAAUUUCUGCAGCGGGUAACACUCUUUUGUCCUAAUUAACACCAGAAGGUUUGGUUGCAAUUCUUUGCUAUCCGCAUAAGGUAUGUUUCUUGCUGCCAGCUUAAAACACUUAUUACUCAUUCAUGAGGGCUUCUGCAAUCUCUGUACUACCCUAGAUACCUUUUCCCACUCUAAAGACAGUGGGGUUUAGUUUACAUUUUCCUUCAUUGCUCUAAUACAUUUUGACAUCCCAGAUGUGGUGUAUCAUUAACACUGAAUAUACCCAUGACAGAUAACAUAAAGCAUUGUCAUUCAUAAAACAUUAUACUGUGGGAGUUAUCCUUGAAACCCCUUACUUCUACUUUCCCCCUAAUUUAAGGGUUUUUAUUUUUUCUAGUUCAUAAGUUUAUUGUUCCAGCCAAAGGCCAUGACAAACUUGCAGCGAUCGUAUUAAUAAAAUAAUACAGAACAUCCGCCCAUGAAAUAAGCCAACAUCCGUUUCUUGUUUCUUUUGGGUGGGGUAGCAUAAAGAUAUGAACAGCAAGUGAUUGCCUACAAAUCCACAGACCACUCGAUCCAGGUUAACUCAGUUGAAGUCAAGAAGAUUGCUUCAGGGAGAGUAAAUUCAUUAAGGAUUGCAGCCAGUGAAGAGGCUGAGGGGUUUGAGUAAUGUUUCGCAGCUAAUGAAGAUCAGAUAGGAAGUACUGAGAGGAGAGUUUAAUUGGUUAUAUUCUUCCUCAAUCUUCUAAUCCCAAAUUUUUCAAGGCCGACAAUGUUGCUGCUGUUCUCAUUUUAAACAUUUCAAUAUCCACCACCUUCAUUGCUGAUUUCCCUAGUCAAAUUGAAGGGGGAACCCCCAUAACUAUGCAUAUUUUUCUUUUCAGAAAACCCUGGGAGUUUUUGCAGUAUAGGCAAUAUAAAAGUGCCUCUAAAUUCCUGGACUUCGACAUGUGGAAAAUAUGGUGUCUUUGGAAACAUUCAGACUGCUAACAUGUGAGAUAUCAGGAAUGCUAUUUCAUUUGUGCUUUGGUCCCGAAAAGUCAAGACAUAGAGGUCUUGUGUGGGAGAGUGGGAAGGAUGUUCAGCUUGAAUGUGAUGAGGAAAAUCAAACCCACAUGAAACCUUUAAAAAGAAGGAUUCAGACAACUAAGCCACUCUUGAUGUGCAUUGGAAGUUCCUUAUUUUGUGGAUUUGCCACAAUUGGCUUCUGUGAGUGGUUAUCCACAUGCUUUACUAAUUAUCCCCAAUGUGCUUGAAGGCACAUUUAUGAAUGUCAAUCAUUUAUUGUCAAUUUAUGUUCUCCAGGGGGUGAGUGGAAUGGAAGCUAUUGAUAGUGCAGAAACGUUUUAGACUUAAUGCAUUAGCAUUUCCAUGAGGAUCAUACCACACAGUGACUUGACAAGUCCAUCUUCAUCCUAAAUAAACAUAACCUUUUGCAUCUCUUUUGCAGGCGACAGGAAAACUGAGCAAUUUCCUUAAGGGGGCUUUAAAUUCUUGGCACAAUGCCAGCACUCUUGUUGCAUUUUUGAAAGAAUAAAAUAUAACAUUCGUU
Podarcis lilfordi (Lilford's wall lizard) is the source of this 30680-nucleotide non-coding RNA. The record is from the annotation of a GenBank genome assembly. Lineage: Eukaryota; Metazoa; Chordata; Lepidosauria; Squamata; Lacertidae.